CGUUUCUGUCUCUUUUGAAUUCAUCUGUCGAUCCAGCAGCUGUGUGCGUCCCGUGCACACUGUUUAACUACUUCAGAGUGGUCAGUAAAUACGAGGCCACAGUAUUGACUCUUCAAAGAGCAUGCUAGUUUAGAGGCAUGUUGUGACAUAUUUAAAUCGUGAUAUCCGGUAGCUAAAGAGCAACGUUAGUGUGUCCUGACGGGCCUCGACCAACCACGUGGGGAAGACUGACUGAUGGGCCAAAUGAAAGACAAAAUCAGCUUAAGUCUGGCAGCUCUCUGCACAAGUUUAAGAAGUCCCAUAUUGAAAAAUAUGGAUUCUCAUGUCCCUAGGAGGUCAAGGUGGGCCCGUAGAAGAUUAUGCAAAGUCAAGACUGAGCUGAAGAGGUGUGUGAGCUGCCUUAAGAAAUGUUGAGGCCAGAAAGAUACAUCAGCUGCUGAGCCUGUUGGAAUGAUGGUUGCCAUGCAGCGCUGUGUACACGCCACACUAAACCUCCUGACUGAAGACUGUUCAUUUCAUGCAGGUUAAGCUGGCUACUUCUGAAGAUUUGUGUGAAGAGUGAUUCAUCUUGUGGGGUGCAGCUACAAUGUUGGACAGAUCUUGUACCAUUCUGCUAGUCUGGUCCCGGAGUCUGCGGUCGAGUGAAUUUGACAGGUGGCAAGAGGCUUCUAGUCUGAAGAUGGAUGUCGCUGUUUAAUGGGAAAAAUAUUUUGCAGUUUAAAAAGCAUUCUGCAAUGUUUUCUAUAAUUGUAAUACAACUGCCUGAUUGAAACCAAUAUAACUUGUUUAGCCUCCUGACAAAGCCCUGCCUACUCAUUCAUGUGUAGGAACUAAAAGCCAAAACUGCUCAAGUGAUCCUAAUCUCAUGUCUAAAUACCUGAUCACAUGUACAGUCAUGUUGCUUUGACUUCAUGUUCCUGAUGUCUGCUGUCCUCACUCAUCUGAAUUUGUCUUAUGGAAUUGUGAAACUUUUAUACAAAUAACUGCAUUGUGGACUAAGUUCAGUGCAAAUGCAAAGUAUGUCUUGACUUUUCCACAUUUUCUCCUGCCUGCAAAAAUACAGAUUUUGUCGCUAAGACAUCUUAAAUGACCUUUAGCCUCACCAGUUUGUUUCUGUCCUGUUAUGCUCUGUUUAAGUUCUGAGGUUUUUAUGCUGAUCAUGUAAUCCCCCAUGUAAAGUGCCUUGAGUACUUUAAGUGCUAUAAAUAAAAAUGUCUGUAUUUCUGGUAAUUUAAAA
This is a long non-coding RNA of Micropterus salmoides (largemouth bass), 1237 nucleotides long. RefSeq lists it as uncharacterized. The transcript has 8 exons. NCBI's taxonomy places the organism in Eukaryota, Metazoa, Chordata, Actinopteri, Centrarchiformes, Centrarchidae. The record is from RefSeq and is a predicted model, not a curated record.